AACGAACGCUGGCGGCAUGCCUAACACAUGCAAGUCGAACGAGACCUUCGGGUCUAGUGGCGCACGGGUGCGUAACGCGUGGGAACCUGCCCUUAGGUUCGGAAUAACUCCCCGAAAGGGGUGCUAAUACCGGGUAAUGUCUUCGGACCAAAGUUUUAUCGCCUUUGGAUGGGCCCGCGUUGGAUUAGCUAGUUGGUAGGGUAAAAGCCUACCAAGGCGACGAUCCAUAGCUGGUCUGAGAGGAAGAUCAGCCACACUGGGACUGAGACACGGCCCAGACUCCUACGGGAGGCAGCAGUGGGGAAUAUUGGACAAUGGGCGAAAGCCUGAUCCAGCAAUGCCGCGUGAGUGAUGAAGGCCUUAGGGUUGUAAAGCUCUUUUACCCGGGAUGAUAAUGACAGUACCGGGAGAAUAAGCUCCGGCUAACUCCGUG
This 433-nucleotide ribosomal RNA is filed under the name uncultured bacterium. RNAcentral's name for it is "partial 16S ribosomal RNA". It matches the Rfam family "Bacterial small subunit ribosomal RNA", at positions 29 to 507 of the family's 1533-position model. The record is from RNAcentral.